Molecule: ribosomal RNA, 446 nt
Filed under: uncultured bacterium
Lineage: Bacteria
Description: partial 16S ribosomal RNA
Rfam family: Bacterial small subunit ribosomal RNA
Source: RNAcentral
CCUACGGGAGGCAGCAGUCGAGAAUCAUUCACAAUGGGGGAAACCCUGAUGGUGCGACGCCGCGUGGGGGAAUGAAGGUCUUAGUAUUGUAAACCCCUGUCAUGUGGGCGCAAAUUAAAAAGAUCGUACCACAAGAGGAAGAGCCGGCUAACUCUGUGCCAGCAGCCGCGGUACUGCGGAGGGCUCAAGCGUUGUUCGGAAUCACGGGGCGUAAAGCGUGCGUAGGCUGUUUAGUAAGUCGUGUGUGAAAGGCGCGGGCUCAACCCGCGGACGGCACAUGAUACUGCGAGACUAGAGUAAUGGAGGGGGAACCGGAAUUCGCGGUGUAGCAGUGAAAUGCGUAGAUAUCGAGAGGAACACUCGUGGCGAAGGCGGGUUCCUGGACAUUAACUGACGCUGAGGCACGAAGGCCAGGGGGGCGAAAGGGAUUAGAUACCCCAGUAGUC